Lolium perenne is the source of this 764-nucleotide long non-coding RNA. RefSeq lists it as uncharacterized. NCBI's taxonomy places the organism in Eukaryota, Viridiplantae, Streptophyta, Magnoliopsida, Poales, Poaceae. The record is from RefSeq and is a predicted model, not a curated record.
CUCAAAUUCAUUACGGAUUUUGCAUGAUCAAGAUCUGGUCAGAUCUGACUUUGUCGAAUUAAACCAGGAGCUUGGAAACUAAUUUUUGAAUGAAACCAACUGGAUGCGAACAAUUCCGGAGAAGAAGAAGUGGAAUCGGACGAGGAUUUUAUUUAUAUUGUUGGGAUUCUUAUAUUUAUGGAGUUGAAGAAGUCCGGGGACAAAUAAGCCAAGGCAAGCCAUCUUUUGAUCUCUGAUUUGGUGUCUAGUUGUAUGUCAUUUGUUGAUGUCCAAAGCACCUUAAUUCUAUGUGUGUUACUCUCUCUAUUUAUGUCAUCUAUGUGUGAUUUCAAGUGGGGAACUCCCUAGUGGUGAUACUCCACUAUUGUCUUUGUGAUUAUGGGAUGCAUGGUAUCAUGGCCGUGCUAUUUCACUUGGUUAUCUUGUAUGCUCAACUUGAGCAUGUUCCAUCUCAAGAUAGUAACUUACACCACAUCCACCCUCUUUGUAGUAUAGAGGUAUCAAUGUCAUGAUCUUGGCGUAUUCUCAACUUGAGAGAAGUAUGCCGUGUACCCAUGGGAAAGUAGGUUGGAUAGUGAUACUCCACUAUCUAACUUGUACACUUAGCACCACCAAUCUGAAAAUGUUUCCUCUUAUGUUGUCAUUAUACAUGCUUACCUUAAGCAAGUAUGAUCCUCUUUACGCCACUCACACAUCCCCUCAUGGGCGUGAUGACCUUCAUCUCGGCCAUGGUGAUUUUUUAGUUCCAUUCAUGAAACUAUAGG